This 270-nucleotide long non-coding RNA is filed under the name Monodelphis domestica (gray short-tailed opossum). RNAcentral's name for it is "lncRNA (ENSMODG00000050068.1)". The record is from RNAcentral. Lineage: Eukaryota; Metazoa; Chordata; Mammalia; Didelphimorphia; Didelphidae.
AUAAUCUCUAGUUCAUUUUAAUCCUAACUUCAAUAGCUCUUCACUGAAUAUAAUUUUAUUUCAUUGUGAACAUGAAAUAGAAGGAGCUUCAGGCUGGAGAAAGUCGUGGGACACCUACUGAUGAUGUCGUAGCCCAGAAUUCUAGGAGACUAUAUAUACCAAGACGAAAGAAGGAAGGAUCACCUCAUACCCUAAAAGAACACUGAGAAGUCAGAGGAAGAAGACAACUAACUUUGAAGAAGAGAAAUAAACAUCUCAGAGAGAAUUACA